This 402-nucleotide ribosomal RNA is filed under the name Triticum aestivum (bread wheat). Its description in RNAcentral is "partial small subunit ribosomal RNA". The record is from RNAcentral. Lineage: Eukaryota; Viridiplantae; Streptophyta; Magnoliopsida; Poales; Poaceae.
AUGAAGGAUGCCUCCGAGACAUGGACGCAAAAUAAUUCCUCUCAGCAGCCGUCUGGACUCGAGCACAAAGUGGUUACAUUUUCCCUGUGGUCCUUUUGCCAGCAGCAUGGUACCAUCCCAUCUGCUAUAACAAAACGGCAAAAGAAAAUCACAAUCACAAUGCAGCUUCAUACACAUACCACAAGACUGACGCUGAAGGAAUCUAGGACCACAGCCGUUCUUGCAAGAGGAAACAAUACCCAUGAGAUGUCCUCCACUCCACAACACUCUGUUACAUUGUCAUCAGUAAUAAUUAUACAACAACAACGACAACAACAACAACAACAACAACAAAGCCUUGUUGCUGUUGUUGUCAUCAGUAAUAAUUAUGGCACAGGAAAUCCUAUAGUGUGUGUGUAUUAA